GUGGGGAAUAUUGCACAAUGGGGGAAACCCUGAUGCAGCGACGCCGCGUGAGGGAAGAAGGCUUUCGGGUUGUAAACCUCUGUCCUUGGUGACGAAAAAAAUGACGGUAGCCAAGGAGGAAGCCCCGGCUAACUUCGUGCCAGCAGCCGCGGUAAUACGAAGGGUGCAAGCGUUAAUCGGAAUUACUGGGCGUAAAGCGCGCGUAGGUGGUUAAGUAAGCGAUCUGUGAAAGCCCCGGGCUCAACCUGGGAAUUGCAGGUCGAACUGCUUGGCUAGAGUAUGGUAGAGGGGUGUGGAAUUCCAGGUGUAGCGGUGAAAUGCGUAGAUAUCUGGAGGAACAUCAGUGGCGAAGGCGACACCCUGGACCGAUACUGACACUGAGGUGCGAAAGCGUGGGUAGCGAACAGGAUUAGAAACCCCUGUAGUCC
Molecule: ribosomal RNA, 428 nt
Filed under: uncultured bacterium
Lineage: Bacteria
Description: partial 16S ribosomal RNA
Rfam family: Bacterial small subunit ribosomal RNA
Source: RNAcentral